GUUAACUCACUUCUCUUAUCAGCAAUCAACAAACUGUUGUCCUUCUGAGGGAACUCUAAAAGGUUCUAUCUUGGACCCCUUUAGAAAAAUUCUGAACAGACCAAAGAACCCUUUAUGAUCUAGUGUAGAGCUAGAAAACAAAUCCUAGGUGUAAACAAUUUGGGUGACUGAUGAUGUUCCUGAUUAUUUGAUCAUACAAUGUUUAUAAAAGAUUAAAUCUAGAACUCCUAAUGCUUUUUGGAGGAAAGCUAGAACCAUUUUGUCUAAUCAUCUAGCUAUAAAUAUAAGUAUACUAUAAGUAAAUAUAAGUAAAGCAUCUCUGCUAUCUUUCUUCCCUUAACAAUAAUUAACCAAUCACAGCUUCACAUAUUUACACAGGUUCUUUGGUUUUUCCCUCUGGGGUAAACCUUAAAGGUUCUAUGAAGAAUCGUUUUGAACAUUUUUUUAACAUGAAAAUAAGGAAAAAUAAGUCAUGAAAUCCCUCAGCUGAAGAACCUGUCAUUCUACCGAUAUCAGUAAGAAGCUGACGGUGCUGUAGAUCCACAGAGCUUUAAUCAUCACUCAUUACUCCAUAAUGAAUAGUCUGUCUCUAAUACCCCAUCCACGUGCUGAUCUCGCCAGAGAUUGUCUUUAAGAGCUUUUAAAUGAUCAGGAUCCGUGUCAAUAAGAGCGCAUGCCACUGGGCUUAAAUCUUAAAGUUAAUUAAAGCAAACAAAACGUCAUUAGUGUUAAACACAGAGCUGAUUCUUUAUCGAUGAGAGGAAUUCAUCAUCCAUCAUCAACACCAUUAUAUACCACUGCUCUCACAAUCAUUUGAGAAUGGUGUCAAAAAAAACAAGAUGUUUUCAAUAAUUAACAGCCAUUUUGCACUCAUAAUGUAUUUGAGAAACAUGCCUCUGUUUAACGCUCCUGUACAUGACGGCCUCUCUAAUGCACAAACGUCACUGUUCACGCUCACAUCCGGUCACUUUUUACGACAAUGUCACUUAAAGAUGACAUCAUUCUGUUGAUAAAGUCUUCAGCAUGGUUUUUGUCUGGUGUCGUUCUACCACAUAGAAACAGAGAUAUAGUAAGUUAC
Molecule: long non-coding RNA, 1078 nt
Organism: Ictalurus punctatus (channel catfish)
Lineage: Eukaryota; Metazoa; Chordata; Actinopteri; Siluriformes; Ictaluridae
Source: Ensembl